RNAcentral lists this ribosomal RNA (253 nucleotides) under uncultured bacterium. RNAcentral's name for it is "partial 16S ribosomal RNA". It matches the Rfam family "Bacterial small subunit ribosomal RNA", at positions 524 to 776 of the family's 1533-position model. The record is from RNAcentral.
UACGUAGGGCGCAAGCGUUGUCCGGAAUUAUUGGGCGUAAAGAGCUCGUAGGCGGCCAGUUGCGUCUGCUGUGAAAUCCCGGGGCUCAACCCCGGGCGUGCAGUGGAUACGGGCUGGCUAGAGGCAGGCAGGGGAGAACGGAAUUCCCGGUGUAGCGGUGAAAUGCGCAGAUAUCGGGAGGAACACCGGUGGCGAAGGCGGUUCUCUGGGCAGUAACUGACGCUGAGGAGCGAAAGCGUGGGGAGCGAACAGG